AGGCAGCAGUGGGGAAUCUUGCGCAAUGCGCGAAAGCGUGACGCAGCAACGCCGCGUGCGGGAAGACGGCCUUCGGGUUGUAAACCGCUUUCAGUUGGGACGAAGCCUCGCCAGUUAAUAGCUGGUUGGGGUGACGGUACCUUCACAAGAAGCCCCGGCUAACUACGUGCCAGCAGCCGCGGUAAUACGUAGGGGGCAAGCGUUGUCCGGAAUCAUUGGGCGUAAAGCGCGUGUAGGCGGCUCAGUUAGUCCGUUGUGAAAGUCCAGGGCUCAACCCUGGAAUGCCGAUGGAUACUGCUGAGCUCGAGUCCGGAAGAGGCGAGUGGAAUUCCUGGUGUAGCGGUGAAAUGCGCAGAUAUCAGGAGGAACACCAAUGGCGAAGGCAGCUCGCUGGGACGGUACUGACGCUGAGACGCGAAAGCGUGGGGAGCAAACAGGAUUAGAUACCCUGGUAG
This 455-nucleotide ribosomal RNA is filed under the name uncultured bacterium. RNAcentral's name for it is "bacterial SSU rRNA". It matches the Rfam family "Bacterial small subunit ribosomal RNA", at positions 346 to 793 of the family's 1533-position model. The record is from RNAcentral.